GUCCUUUAGUGUAUUUUGUAGUUAGGAACUAGGGCAAACAGAUUCACUCUAUCGCGAUUUCACUCUCACCCAUCGAUCCGCUGCUCUGAAGCCGAAUCACGACUGCAGCGUCUUGUCCGCCGACGCCACCGCUUUCGCCUUCAUCGCUCUCUCCGCCAAUUCCGCCUCCAUCACUCGUUCGUAUCCAAUUUUAUUUGGCCAGACCGGGAAAAAAAACUAGGGCUGAAUUCGUGGAGUCCUUCAUAUAUAGUUAGGAACUAGGGCAAACAGAUUCACUCUCUCGUGAUUUCACUCUCGCCCAUCGAUCCGCCGCUCUGAAGCCGAAUCAUGACUGCAGCGUCUUGUCCGCCGACGGCACCGGUUCCACCUUCAUCUCUCUCUCCGCCGCUUCCGCCUCCAUCACUCGUUCGUGUCCAAUUUUAUUUGGCCAAACCGGGAAAAAAAACUAGGGCUGAAUUCGUGGAGUCCUUCCUAUAUAGGAACUACCAAUUUUGAUGGCGCUUGAUUCAUUCUAAAAUUCCAUAUUGUUUUGGUGGAGAUUGCUAGUUAUUCUGACUGGUUGUGGUCCCCUACCUCUCUAUGGACAAUUUAUAUAUUAUAUAUGUGGGUUGGUGGGUAUACCGAGUGGGAGGGCCCAUGUCAUCGUUAUAAGGGUGGUAGGACAGUUCGAUUUUCGGGUAUCGACAAGGACCGGAUUUAUUAUAGUGCUCUCUUAGAUAUGUAUGCCCGCGCAGGCAAAAGAGCAGGGGUUGUAGAGCUCACAUACUGGAACCCUAUCAGCGGCCAUGGUGUUAAUCUUCGGGGACCGAUUUAUAUGAUUAGAUGCGACAAAGAUGUUCUAGAAAUGUUCAAGAUCCAUUACGGAAAAAGUAUAAUUUCUAUAUAUGCCAAUGACAAGGGCUUGCCAAUGAUGGUAUACAAUCAGUACGGGCGUCCCACAAGGACCACAGAGACGGAUGUAUGUUAUUUGGAAUGGUGUAAGGACGUAGGGGAAAGUAGCGGUCCGGCUUUCAUGCCGAUUGAGCAGGACGAAGAUGGUGAGGAUACUGGCGAUGAUGUGGAUGAUGACGAUGCAAUAUUCAUGGAUGAUAUGUGUGGGAUCAUGAAUGAUAAUUUUCAAAACCAAGGAGUUGAGGACCUAACAAAUAGAUUUGAUCCGCAUGACGAACAAAUGGAUCUUAAAGGGAAAGGUAUUGCACGAUCAGAAACGGAAGAGGUGAGCGAUGAUGAUGAGGAGGGUGAUGAUGACGAUGAGAGCAGCGAUGACGAUGAGAGCGAUGAUGAUGAUGAGAGCGAUGAUGAUGCGGACAGCUAUGGUGACGAUGAUGACGAGGAAAGCCAAGGGGAUUCAAGUACAUAGGUGUUGAGGAACCAAUGUGGAUAGAUUACAACGAGGACAUGGGAGGUCACGCGAGGUGCGAGGCGGAGUAUGGAAGCCCUGUCGACUAUGUAGAUAAGGGUGAUGAGGGAGGGCCGUGGACAGAUUACAAUGAGGGCAUGGGAGGUGAGGCUUGAUGCGAGGCAGAGUAUGCCAGCCUUGUAGAUAAGGGUUACGAGGGAGGGCCAUAGACAGAUUACAAUGUGGGCAUGGGAGGUCAGGCUUUGAGUGAGGUGGAGUAUGCAAACCCUAUCGACAAUGAUGAUACUCAUAACACCGAUGCCGACAAAUAUUGGGAGGACCUACAGAUUUAUCGAGAGUGGCAGAAGGAGGUUGCACGUGAAAUGGAAACUGACAAUUCGGAGAGGGGAGAGUGGGGGAGCGAGGACGUGGUUGGGGAAGUUAGCUCAGAUGCUUAUGAGGAUGAAACAUAUUAGAUGGAUGAACUCUCGCAAGUGAGCAACAAUGAGGAGGCUUGGGACUGUGAGCAAGAAGGAGGGGGGAAUGCGGAGGCAGAAGGUUGGUGUUCUGAUGGCUUGAGUUAGGAGAAUGGGCUCCUCCGCAGCCCAACAUGAUUGUAUGAGGGAUUGGGUCCGGUGUUCAAGGAAUGGGAUGAUGAUUUGGACUUAGUUGUACAGGAUUUGAAGGUUGGGAUGAAAUUUGUCAACCGAGAUAAAUACAGACAUGCUAUUCGGGAUUGGGCUGUCCGUCGUGGUUGGGAUUUGAAUCUGGUAAAGAAUGAAAAAAAAGAAGGCGAUAGCCGUGUGCAGAAAGAGGUAUGAGUGGAGGAUACACGCGUCUUGCGUCAUGGGAGGAGACAUUUUCCAAAUUAAAACAUUAAAGGGAGUCCAUAAUUGCGCACAUCAGUCGUCUAAGGCACAUGCGAACUACAAGUACUUCGAAAAAAGAAUCAAGGACAUUGUUGUUGAUAAUCCAGACAUAUCUAUACCUGCUUUAAAAAAGAAGAUACAUCGGGAUAUGCGUGUUGAGGUGACUUUGUACAAAGUUUACCGAGCUAAGCAGUAUACAAUGGAGUUGAUAAAGGGGAGCAAGGCUGAACAAUAUAGAAGAUUUUAUGAUUAUUGUGCUACCAUAUGCAAAUACAACCUGGGAAGCAAUUGUAGUUUGCAUGUUGAUCGUGGACUUAACCCUCCGGUACCGAAGCAGAUGUACUAUUGUCUAGCUACAUUGAAUGACGCUUUCAAGGCAGGAUGUCGGACGUUCAUUGGGCUGGACGGGUGUUUUCUUUAGGGGUUCUACAAAGGGCAGCUUCUGAGGCCAUCGGACGAGACCCGAAUGAGAAUACUACCCCAUUGCCUUUGCGUUUGUAGAGAAACGUGGGACUGGUUUUUAGAGCACUUGUUGCGUAACCUUGGGGAAUCGAGGAUAGGGGAGUGGGCGUUCAUCUCUGAACAACAAAAGGGUUUGGUGAAGGCGAUUUUUUAUCGAGCAACAGGGGCCGAGCAUCGCUUCUGUCUCCGGCACAUGUACAACAACUUCAAGACGCGAUUUAAGAGACUAUAAUUGAAACGUCUCUUCUGGAGGGCAGCAUCAACAUAUAAUUUAAAAUAAACAUCUCUUCUGGAAUUGAAACGUCUCUUCUGGAGGGCAACAUCAACAUAUAAUUUAAAAUAAACAUCUCUUCUGGAAUUGAAACGUCUCUUCUGGACGGCAGCAUCGAUCCAAUGAGGGCCCAUCCGGAAAGAGGUCUGACGGCCGCAACCAGACAGAACAGGGAAAUACGCCGAAUGAUGACCCAUCCAGCCCGAUGUCGGAUAACCGCCCCCAGGCAAAACAAGUGGCUUCCAACUCUCAUCCCGCUCCGGAAUCGACACCAACGACACAAUCGUCUCAGGUCCAAUCGGAUCCAUCCGAGACAACGUAUAGGAGUGGAGCAUCUCGAUGUCCAACUUUAUCCUCGCUUCUCCGAAGCGUUAGAUUUUCGUUUAAACCGGGAGGGCGUCGACCACCAUCGGCGGGUGGAUCUUUAAGUGACCGUUUAUGAAGCCCUAUAUUUCUCAUAUUUUUGUGUUGGCUAAUGGUUGGGAUUGGAACAUUUCGUAUAAGUAGCAGAUAUAUUAGUAUGUCGUUCGUUAUGUUGUUGUUAUGUCCAACGGUCAUCGAUAGUGGUAGUGAUUGGAACAUUUUGUAUAAUUGCCUAUUACAUUACCUAACGGUCGCCGAUAUUAUAUGUUUUGUAUAAUGUAUGCUAUAAUGCCGUUGCGACUAUAAUACAUGUUUAAUUUUUCCAAUUGCAUAUUGCAUAAUUU
Molecule: long non-coding RNA, 3648 nt
Organism: Andrographis paniculata
Lineage: Eukaryota; Viridiplantae; Streptophyta; Magnoliopsida; Lamiales; Acanthaceae
Exons: 9
Source: RefSeq, a predicted model, not a curated record